This 73-nucleotide transfer RNA is filed under the name Aphyocharax rathbuni. RNAcentral describes it as "tRNA-Met". It matches the Rfam family "tRNA". From Rfam's summary of the family: Transfer RNA (tRNA) molecules are approximately 80 nucleotides in length. Their secondary structure includes four short double-helical elements and three loops (D, anti-codon, and T loops). Further hydrogen bonds mediate the characteristic L-shaped molecular structure. tRNAs have two regions of fundamental functional importance: the anti-codon, which is responsible for specific mRNA codon recognition, and the 3' end, to which the tRNAs corresponding amino acid is attached (by aminoacyl-tRNA synthetases). tRNAs cope with the degeneracy of the genetic code in two manners: having more than one tRNA (with a specific anti-codon) for a particular amino acid; and 'wobble' base-pairing, i.e. permitting non-standard base-pairing at the 3rd anti-codon position. The record is from RNAcentral. Lineage: Eukaryota; Metazoa; Chordata; Actinopteri; Characiformes; Characidae.
UAACUAGGUCAGCUAAAAUAAGCUCUUGGGCCCAUACCCCAACAAUAAAGGUUAAAAUCCUUUCCUCGUUAAC